Molecule: ribosomal RNA, 253 nt
Filed under: uncultured bacterium
Lineage: Bacteria
Description: partial 16S ribosomal RNA
Rfam family: Bacterial small subunit ribosomal RNA
Source: RNAcentral
UACGUAGGGUGCAAGCGUUGUCCGGAAUUAUUGGGCGUAAAGAGCUCGUAGGCGGUCUGUCGCGUCGAAUGUGAAAACCCGGGGCUCAACCCCGGGCCUGCAUUUGAUACGGGCAGACUAGAGUUCGGUAGGGGAGUCUGGAAUUCCUGGUGUAGCGGUGAAAUGCGCAGAUAUCAGGAGGAACACCGGUGGCGAAGGCGGGAAUCUGGGCCAAUACUGACGCUGAGGAGCGAAAGCGUGGGGAGCAAACAGG